RNAcentral lists this ribosomal RNA (253 nucleotides) under uncultured bacterium. RNAcentral's name for it is "partial 16S ribosomal RNA". It matches the Rfam family "Bacterial small subunit ribosomal RNA", at positions 524 to 776 of the family's 1533-position model. The record is from RNAcentral.
GACGGAGGGCGCAAGCGUUGUUCGGAUUCAUUGGGCGUAAAGGGUGCGUAGGUGGCGGGGUAAGUCUGGUGUGAAAUCUCGGGGCUCAACCCCGAAACUGCACUGGAUACUGCCUUGCUCGAGUACUGGAGAGGAGAUUGGAAUUUACGGUGUAGCAGUGAAAUGCGUAGAUAUCGUAAGGAAGACCAGUGGCGAAGGCGAAUCUCUGGACAGUUACUGACACUGAGGCACGAAGGCCAGGGGAGCAAACGGG